Molecule: ribosomal RNA, 360 nt
Filed under: Rhizoctonia solani
Lineage: Eukaryota; Fungi; Basidiomycota; Agaricomycetes; Cantharellales; Ceratobasidiaceae
Description: LSU rRNA
Rfam family: Bacterial large subunit ribosomal RNA
Source: RNAcentral
CGCAUAAGUUAGACGAGAUGAGGAACCAUCUACUAAACCUUUCUUAUUUUUAAGGUAAAGGAAUAGAAGGAUGGUGUCACAAAAUCGGGCGCACCGACUGUUUACUAAAAACACAGAUAACUGCUAAGAUGAAAAUACUUGUAUAGUUGUCGAAUUUUGCCCAAUGCCAUUAAUAUAAACGAGGUGAGUUAUUUUUACCAAGUGAAAAGUCUGGUCAAUGGCGGUCUUAACCAUAAGGAUCCAAAGGUAGCAAAAUUCAUUGUCCGCUAAAUACGGUCCUGCAUGAAUAAAGUAACGAUUGCGCCACUGUCUCUACAAGCAUCUCAGUGAAAUUGAAUUAGCCGUGAAGAUGCGGCUCGG